Molecule: ribosomal RNA, 444 nt
Filed under: uncultured bacterium
Lineage: Bacteria
Description: bacterial SSU rRNA
Rfam family: Bacterial small subunit ribosomal RNA
Source: RNAcentral
UAAGGAAUAUUGGACAAUGGGGGCAACCCUGAUCCAGCCAUGCCGCGUGAAGGAUGAAGGCGCUCUGCGUUGUAAACUUCUUUUAUACGGGAAAAAACCCCUCUACGUGUAGAGGGUUGAUUGUACUGUAAGAAUAAGGAUCGGCUAACUUCGUGCCAGCAGCCGCGGUAAUACGAAGGAUUCGAGCGUUAUCCGGAUUUAUUGGGUUUAAAGGGUGCGUAGGCGGGUUUGUAAGUCAGUGGUGAAAGCCCUCAGCUUAACUGAGGAAUUGCCGUUGAUACUGCAAGUCUUGAGUACACUUGAGGUGGGCGGAAUGUAUCAUGUAGCGGUGAAAUGCUUAGAUAUGAUACAGAACACCAAUUGCGAAGGCAGCUCACUAAAUUGUAACUGACGCUGAGGCACGAAAGCGUGGGUAUCAAACAGGAUUAGAUACCCGCGUAGUCC